AUCCCCGGCACGAACUCAUCAUAUGUUAGUGAAAGUGUAUGAGGGGAACAGCGGCGGCGGAGGACGAGCUGCCAUGGCAGGAGAGGUGCCUCCAUUCGGCCGGUGGACAUAUUGUCCUCAUGGGCGGGAGGGGACGUGAAGGAGGCACGUGAGCAGACAAGCUAGUUAUGCCACUCCAUGGAGAACCCUCCUCCUCCUUUGACGUCCAAUGCCUGCAGAUUAGUUGAAAGGGUGAAGAGGUCGCAACCUUCCUGGGAGAUGUUUUACGAUGACACGGUUGAGAACGACUGAUUUGUCUUCACUGGAGCGUGCUGCUGGCAUCAUCUACAUGCAGAGAGAGAGUGCGAGAGAGGUGGGGGUUUUCUUGGAGGGAUGUGUGGAGGAGGGCAAGCUGUAAAUUAGCCAGUUUGGCAGACUGAUGGUCAGUGGCAGUUAAAAAAACCCAGCACCCACCUUGACCUCAGUUUAGGACAUCCAGCUGAGCCAAGAAUGGGAGGAGGUCUUUACUGUGGUGUGGUGGUAAAUACAGUAUGUAGUAGACAUUGAGAAGACCACCUUUGUCUCAUGUGCAUAUUUUUCUGUAUUCUUUAUUCAAUUUCACAAUAUAUUUAUCAAAGUACUCAUAUAACAAAAUAUACAAAACAGUGCAUAUAAUUGAUGAAUUUCACACUGAAAUUAUUCCAAAAUGUUUAAACGGAGGUUCAACAAAUAUUUGCUUUAGUCCUGUUACGCUAUAAUUUCUUGUACUGGUUAUUGACAAUUACUUUUUAAAUCAACCCUAUAUAUCAGCAGUGAAGAACGCACUCAUAUAAUAUUGCAUUACAUUGAAACAAAACUACACUAUGCUUGUACAGCUUUGCAGUAUUGGCCUCUGGACCUGGAGUCUUGUUUCCUUGAUGUGGCUGAUUCAUUUAAAGUUAAUAAUAAUAAUAAUAAUAAGUCAGUUGUUAUACAAAAUAUUUACAUUUUUGGAUGGACAUGUUGUAAUUUUGUAACUUAAAAUUAUAUGAAGUGAACCCCACUAUAUCACAGUUAUAGCUCAGAUUUUAAAGUGAUCGUUUUCUAUGGGUCCGAAUCGAGUUGCACACCUUCAGUGUAGGACCACGUUGUGCUGCAACAUGCUCUGUGUUUUACUGGAAGAAAUACAGCAUAUUUAGAGCAAGAACAGGCAGAGAAGGUUCCCAACUACUGUAAGAUCCAGUAAUGGUUGUUCCCACAAAGCAGAGAGAAUUUAUACCUGUGAGUAUUAUUGUACUGUGUGCCCGUCGAUGGUGUUACACAUUAUAUAAUAGCAUUACGCUAGCAGACUUUCGUUACAUGAAAUUACAUGGUUUGGUUGAAAAUUUUUGUGCUUACAAUGUCUAAUGCUCUUCUGUUUCAUGUUUCAAUGUUACACUUAAACUAAGUGACAAAUAAACAGCUUGAAGCAAACAAA
This is a long non-coding RNA of Phyllopteryx taeniolatus (common seadragon), 1435 nucleotides long. RefSeq lists it as uncharacterized. The record is from RefSeq and is a predicted model, not a curated record. NCBI's taxonomy places the organism in Eukaryota, Metazoa, Chordata, Actinopteri, Syngnathiformes, Syngnathidae. The transcript is spliced from 2 exons.